AAGAUUUUAAGUUAAAAAAACUAUUUAUCUUCAAAAUAAAAAUUAUUUAUUAUAAAUCUUA
Molecule: transfer RNA, 61 nt
Filed under: Ptilonyssus chloris
Lineage: Eukaryota; Metazoa; Arthropoda; Arachnida; Mesostigmata; Rhinonyssidae
Description: tRNA-Trp
Source: RNAcentral